This 253-nucleotide ribosomal RNA is filed under the name uncultured bacterium. RNAcentral describes it as "partial 16S ribosomal RNA". It matches the Rfam family "Bacterial small subunit ribosomal RNA", at positions 524 to 776 of the family's 1533-position model. The record is from RNAcentral.
UACGUAGGGACCAAGCGUUGUCCGGAAUUAUUGGGCGUAAAGAGCUCGUAGGCGGUCUGUCGCGUCUGCUGUGAAAACUCAGGGCUUAACCCUGAGCUUGCAGUGGGUACGGGCAGACUAGAGUGCGGUAGGGGAGACUGGAAUUCCUGGUGUAGCGGUGAAAUGCGCAGAUAUCAGGAGGAACACCGGUGGCGAAGGCGGGUCUCUGGGCCGAUACUGACGCUGAGGUGCGAAAGCGUGGGGAGCAAACAGG